RNAcentral lists this long non-coding RNA (733 nucleotides) under Phoenix dactylifera (date palm). RNAcentral describes it as "long non-coding RNA (PDAC_LNC010941)". Lineage: Eukaryota; Viridiplantae; Streptophyta; Magnoliopsida; Arecales; Arecaceae. The record is from RNAcentral.
GAGCUAUUCUAGGGCAUUAUCCUCUUCCUAAAAUCCUAUUUUUCACUUUUCAAUUGCUUCCAAUCAUCUCCAAAUAGUAGAAGAUAGCUUCCCCAAGCCGUUAGAUCAAGAUCUUCAACUCCAAAUAUUUUAACCCAUAACAUGCUUGAUAUUUUAGAUAUUUUAACUCUGGUACCAGUCGAAGACAGUCUUCCACUGCACAUCACAUGUGGCGCGGGCUCAUUCCCAAUACAUAGGGUGACACCCGCGCGUGCCUAUUAAAGCACUCAUCAUAUGAGCCCCCGGGUGGAGAGCCACGCUUCGUCACACGAUCACGCGUGAGAGUUCCGGAAAUCGGAUAGUCUCCACUAAUCCUUUGCUUUGACACCAAAUAUCACAAAGCCCUCAGAUUCCGAGGAUUGUGUGAUUCGAAUAAAUAUGCAUAAAUCACAACUUCUUGUGAUUUGAAGAUUGAUAUCAUAUCUCAACCGUAAAAGAGAUCAGGUCUCUUACCUUUAAAAGGGGGUUCUUUCAAGGAUGCUUCGCAGCCGCACAAGCGUCCGGCCUCGAUGACUCGUCCACGCGAAGCUCCGGAAUGAUCAGCUUCCCGGGGAGUGCUAGCUCGCAGGGAGGCAGAAGGUUAGCUGAAAUGGAGAAGGAAGAAGAUGGACCUUCACAGCUCAAGAACUCCUUCUUGGGCUUUCACCUUCAGAGCUACUCUCUCCUCUCACUCUCUUUCUCUGGUGCUCUUGAU